GAUGAACGCUGGCGGCGUGCCUAAUACAUGCAAGUCGAGCGAACAGAUAAGGAGCUUGCUCCUUUGACGUUAGCGGCGGACGGGUGAGUAACACGUGGGUAACCUACCUAUAAGACUGGAAUAACUCCGGGAAACCGGGGCUAAUGCCGGAUAACAUUUAGAACCGCAUGGUUCUAAAGUGAAAGAUGGUUUUGCUAUCACUUAUAGAUGGACCCGCGCCGUAUUAGCUAGUUGGUAAGGUAACGGCUUACCAAGGCAACGAUACGUAGCCGACCUGAGAGGGUGAUCGGCCACACUGGAACUGAGACACGGUCCAGACUCCUACGGGAGGCAGCAGUAGGGAAUCUUCCGCAAUGGGCGAAAGCCUGACGGAGCAACGCCGCGUGAGUGAUGAAGGUCUUCGGAUCGUAAAACUCUGUUAUUAGGGAAGAACAAAUGUGUAAGUAACUGUGCACGUCAUGACGGUACCUAAUCAGAAAGCCACGGCUAACUACGUG
This 497-nucleotide ribosomal RNA is filed under the name uncultured bacterium. RNAcentral's name for it is "partial 16S ribosomal RNA". It matches the Rfam family "Bacterial small subunit ribosomal RNA", at positions 28 to 507 of the family's 1533-position model. The record is from RNAcentral.